UUUCCGUAGGUGAACCUGCGGAAGGAUCAUUGCACACACGAUGCAGCAAACUAGCGAACUGUGUUUGUCCCCCACCUACCCCAAGCACGAGGGGCCGCAUCUGGAGGUGCGGCUGUCGACGGCAAGGUCCCGACCUUCGGGUCCCCGCAGUGGUUCCCGCAAGCGGGCUGAUCAUGUCGCCGUCUGGGUGUCCAGCGCGGGCACUCGCCUUGCCUUAGGGUUGGGCGACGGGGGCAUUCUUCUCCCUUCGAUGGCGCUGUCCCCUUCCGCGGGGGUGCGAGCUGGUCGGCUGGUGGGGCUCCCGGGAUGUCUUUCGCCUGUCCUUGGGCUUGACCGACGAGGGCUACCUCUUCACUUGGAUGGCAUCAUCCCCUCCACGGGGAAAGCGCAACGCCUCGGGGUCCCUUUACAACUUUGCACCAUGUACAACACCAGUGGCUGAGUAUACCGGUGUCCCGGUUCCGCUGCUGCCCUCGGGUGGUGCGGGAUUGGUCCAUAGGAACAAGAGUAAAUAAAAACAACUCUCAGCAACGGAUAUCUUGGCUCUU
RNAcentral lists this unclassified non-coding RNA (548 nucleotides) under plant metagenome. Its description in RNAcentral is "partial contains small subunit ribosomal RNA, internal transcribed spacer 1, and 5.8S ribosomal RNA". The record is from RNAcentral.